RNAcentral lists this ribosomal RNA (468 nucleotides) under uncultured bacterium. RNAcentral describes it as "partial 16S ribosomal RNA". It matches the Rfam family "Bacterial small subunit ribosomal RNA", at positions 28 to 507 of the family's 1533-position model. The record is from RNAcentral.
GACGAACGCUGGCGGCGUGCUUAACACAUGCAAGUCGAACGGAAAGGCCCUGCUUUUGUGGGGUGCUCGUGUGGCGAACGGGUGAGUAACACGUGAGUAACCUGCCCUUGUCUUUGGGAUAACUUCAGGAAACUGGGGCUAAUACCGGAUAGGAUCUCCUGCUGCAUGGUGGGGGUUGGAAAGUUUCGGCGGUUGGGGAUGGACUGGCGGCUUAUCAGCUUGUUGGUGGGGUAGUGGCUUACCAAGGUUGUGACGGGUAGCCGGCCUGAGAGGGUGACCGGCCACAUUGGGACUGAGAUACGGCCCAGACUCGUACGGGAGGCAGCAGUGGGGAAUAUUGCACAAUGGGCGGAAGCCUGAUGCAGCAACGCCGCGUGCGGGAUGCCGGGCUUCGGGUUGUAAACCGCUUUCGCAUGUGACGAAGCGUGAGUGACGGUAAUGGGUAAAGAAGCACCGGCUAACUACGUG